RNAcentral lists this ribosomal RNA (466 nucleotides) under uncultured bacterium. Its description in RNAcentral is "bacterial SSU rRNA". It matches the Rfam family "Bacterial small subunit ribosomal RNA", at positions 329 to 792 of the family's 1533-position model. The record is from RNAcentral.
UGCCAGACUCCUACGGGAGGCAGCAGUGAGGAAUAUUGGUCAAUGGGCGGGAGCCUGAACCAGCCAAGUCGCGUGAGGGAAGACGGUCCUAUGGAUUGUAAACCUCUUUAGGCGGGGAGCAAUGCCGGGCACGCGUGCCCGGAGGGAGAGUACCCGCAGAAUAAGCAUCGGCUAACUCCGUGCCAGCAGCCGCGGUAAUACGGAGGAUGCGAGCGUUAUCCGGAUUUAUUGGGUUUAAAGGGUGCGCAGGCGGAAUAUCAAGUCAGCGGUAAAAUGGAGAGGCUCACCCUCUUCGAGCCGUUGAAACUGGUUUUCUUGAGUGAGCGAGAAGUAUGCGGAAUGCGUGGUGUAGCGGUGAAAUGCAUAGAUAUCAGGAGGAACACCGGUGGCGAAGGCGGCUUACUGGACCAUAACUGACGUUGAGGCUCGAAAGCGUGGGGAGCGAACAGGAUUAGAUACCCGGGUA